GUGCCCACUUUGGCUUUAUCUAUAGUAAAACUAGAACAAGGCAGAGAUUAUUAUGACUUCUGUGUAAGGAUGAAAUGCAGAUUUGUGAAGCAUUCCAUGUUUUU
Oryctolagus cuniculus (rabbit) is the source of this 104-nucleotide small nuclear RNA. Lineage: Eukaryota; Metazoa; Chordata; Mammalia; Lagomorpha; Leporidae. The record is from Ensembl.